The sequence is a ribosomal RNA, 449 nucleotides long. It matches the Rfam family "Bacterial large subunit ribosomal RNA", at positions 1933 to 2597 of the family's 2925-position model.
GCGGUACUCUGACCGUGCAAAGGUAGCAUAAUCAUUUGCCUUAUAAUUGAAGGCUUGUAUGAAUGGUUUGACAAGAAUGAAGCUGUCUCUUUACAAAUAAGUAUAAUUUUAUUUACAGGUGAAGAAGCCUGUAUUAUAUUGAAAGACAAGAAGACCCUAUCGAGCUUUAAAUAAAUUAAUAAAAAGUAAAUUGUAUUUAUAUUGAGUUAGUUAUUAAAAAUUUUAGUUGGGGCGACUAAGGAACAAUCAAAGCUUCCUAAAAAAUUUUAAGUACUUUCAAGUUGUGAUCCAAAAAUUUUGAUUAAAGGAAUUAGUUACCGUAGGGAUAACAGCAUUAUCUUUUUUAAGAGUUCAAAUCGAAAAAAAGGUUUGUGACCUCGAUGUUGGACCAGAAUAUCCUGAAGAUGCAGCCGUCUUCAAGGGUUGGUCUGUUCGACCAUUAAAAUUCU